UCCCAAAAAUUUGGGGUCGGCUAGCAAAUAGAAUCAGAGAGUAAAAAAUUUAUCCCAUAAGUUCAGAUAAAAAAAUAAGUCAAAUUUGUGAAUUGAAGAGAAGAAUAUACUUCAUUAUCCUGGGCAUUUAAUUCUGUCCCGGUCAAGUUGGGAUGUGAGAAAUGAAAGGCCAAUUUCCACAUCUUUCUUCCAACUGAGGACAACCAAUGAUUAACAACUGUAUGCAGUCUUCUUCUUUUCAUCCUUGACAAAUGACUCAUGUCAUCAGUUCAAUUGACC
RNAcentral lists this unclassified non-coding RNA (279 nucleotides) under Hevea brasiliensis (rubber tree). Lineage: Eukaryota; Viridiplantae; Streptophyta; Magnoliopsida; Malpighiales; Euphorbiaceae. The record is from RNAcentral.